GAGCUUGCCUGGUGUAGUGGUUUGAAUGUUGGACUACAACUCUGGAGACCAGGAUUCGAAUCCCUGCUGGUCCA
RNAcentral lists this transfer RNA (74 nucleotides) under Phrynosoma platyrhinos (Desert horned lizard). RNAcentral's name for it is "tRNA-OTHER". Lineage: Eukaryota; Metazoa; Chordata; Lepidosauria; Squamata; Phrynosomatidae. The record is from RNAcentral.